AUUGAACGCUGGCGGCAGGCCUAACACAUGCAAGUCGAGCGGAUGAAGGGAGCUUGCUCCUGGAUUCAGCGGCGGACGGGUGAGUAAUGCCUAGGAAUCUGCCUGGUAUUGGGGGAUAACGUCCGGAAACGGGCGCUAAUACCGCAUACGUCCUGAGGGAGAAAGUGGGGGAUCUUCGGACCUCACGCUAUCAGAUGAGCCUAGGUCGGAUUAGCUAGUUGGUGGGGUAAAGGCCUACCAAGGCGACGAUCCGUAACUGGUCUGAGAGGAUGAUCAGUCACACUGGAACUGAGACACGGUCCAGACUCCUACGGGAGGCAGCAGUGGGGAAUAUUGGACAAAGGGCGAAAGCCUGAUCCAGCCAUGCCGCGUGUGUGAAGAAGGUCUUCGGAUUGUAAAGCACUUUAAGUUGGGAGGAAGGGCAGUAAGUUAAUCCCUUGCUGUUUUGACGUUACCAACAGAAUAAGCAACGGCUAACUUCGUG
Molecule: ribosomal RNA, 484 nt
Filed under: uncultured bacterium
Lineage: Bacteria
Description: partial 16S ribosomal RNA
Rfam family: Bacterial small subunit ribosomal RNA
Source: RNAcentral